UAAAGGCGAGGAAGCCUGCGGGAUGAAGACUUAAGGAUGAGGGGUCAGGAGCGCCAGGAGGCGAAGACCAGGAAACUGUCCGGAUGACAGUCUUAAAAGGGAAUAAAAGGACCACAACACGGAACGUGACAUGCUAAGGGAAAAACAGGGUGUGUUGUAAGCAAACAGGGAACGUUGUACCCAUUGAGGGUUGAGGGUCAGAAAAAAAGGCGACAGAUUACUCUGUCGCCUUUUUUCUUUGCUUGCUU
RNAcentral lists this small RNA (248 nucleotides) under Phytobacter diazotrophicus. The record is from RNAcentral. Lineage: Bacteria; Pseudomonadati; Pseudomonadota; Gammaproteobacteria; Enterobacterales; Enterobacteriaceae. RNAcentral also lists the same sequence under 1 other name.